AUACGGAGGGGGCUAGCGUUGUUCGGAAUUACUGGGCGUAAAGCGCGCGUAGGCGGACCAGUCAGUCAGGGGUGAAAUCCCGGGGCUCAACCCCGGAACUGCCUUUGAUACUGCUGGUCUUGAGUUCGAGAGAGGUGAGUGGAAUUCCGAGUGUAGAGGUGAAAUGCGUAGAUAUUCGGAGGAACACCAGUGGCGAAGGCGGCUCACUGGCUCGAUACUGACGCUGAGGUGCGAAAGCGUGGGGAGCAAACAGGAUUAGAAACCCUAGUAGUCC
RNAcentral lists this ribosomal RNA (274 nucleotides) under uncultured bacterium. Its description in RNAcentral is "partial 16S ribosomal RNA". It matches the Rfam family "Bacterial small subunit ribosomal RNA", at positions 523 to 796 of the family's 1533-position model. The record is from RNAcentral.